GAGGCCUCGUCGCCUCACGUGCGCCUGCGCGCCUGCCCCUCCCCCUCCCACACCUCCUCCCCUCUUUCAAAAGAUAACCGACAAAAGCCGCGGCCUACUCGAGCUCGCCUCGCUUUCUCCUCAGGAAGCGCGUCUAAGCAGGCCCGCCUCCGCCAGCAGGUCUUCAUUCGGAAGGCGAGAAAUGGCUGCGGCCCAAACGAUGCGGGAAGGAUGCCGAACUCUGGCCCUUGGCCCAUGAGCUCCGCGUUGCCUGCCCUGGCUGGCAGCGGCUCUCCAGGGUUUCAGGCAGGGAGUGUCGGAUGAAGGGGGCGAUGCUAAUGGAGCCAAGAUUUUACCCGCCGGACGUGUAUGGCAGUACCUCGUGAGGCUCCACGGGCCGAAGGUUGCCUGCCUCUGCUCUACACGGACUGGCAGCUGCUCUUUCUCGAGGGUUUCGGGCCGGGUUGCUGUCCCAAGCCCACGUGCAGAUGCUGCUGGGGAUGGAGGCUGGAGCCUUCUAGCAAGGCAGACGCCGAGCAGCCGAGCCAGGCCCUUCCCAUAAUGUGAGAGCGCCAAGAAAACAAAGGAAAAAUCCGUGUUCCUCUGGUUGCUAGUUGAUGGUGGCCAAGGCUAAAUUAAGCCAUCGCCCAGAUUCCUCUCAAGUUUCCUGCAUUUUGACUUUACAAUAAAGGGUAGUUUGCUUAAGUUACGAUUUUAUAUUAAUCUUGAUCACUCAGAAGUAGAAAAAUGUCUGUUCCCCUGAAAGGUGGCCCCUACUAAGACUUUCAUUGCUCACAUACAGGCUCUUUUAAGGAGCAAUACGUGGUUUUGCUUUUUUUAAGCGUGUAAGCUUUGCAAAAACCAGUGUAAAAAAACAAAGGCUCUUAAAAAUAACUCUCAAGUUUAUGUACAGAAAUGGAAACAGCCCAGAUCCCUAUUUUAUACGUACCCUUCUUUGUUAUGGAUACAUGCUUGGAAACUAGGCAUGUUACAGCACUCUUCGUGUGCAAAUGGAAUCCAAGACAUUAAUCUUCCAUGGAAGCAUAUUACUACACAAUAUGGAGAACAGGAGAAAAGGAGUGCAUCUAUCACAAUUGGCAAGAACAUGAGUGACAUUUUGCUAGUUGUCCUAACUUUGCCAUGGGUGGUUUAUCAGAGGAUGAAGCAACAUCCAGCACUCCCAGUGUUAAAGAUAUACAAACUGGGUGCCAAAUGGCUCCUUAAACCAAGGUUGCAGUUGCCAAAAUGAAAUGACCAGUUGGCAUUUUUGGACGAGAUGUGAGCUAGGUUAAGAGCUCUGAGAAUGGGCACUUUAUCCAGGAACAAUCCACAUACAUAUUGGCCUGAAUGGUGACUGCUCCUGCUUAAAAUGCACAGAAAAAGCAUUAUGGUUCCAAAAAUUCAUUCCGAUUGUCCAAAAGAAAUAUAACAGAAUUCCACAAGAAUAGCCUAUUAGUGUGUGAAAACAGUCCACAUCCAAGGAUUCCCACAUGCACCUCCAGAUGGUGAAAACAUCAGGUACCAUCCUUGCGCCCGGACAUCUUCACUUGGUCUCAAGUGGUCAAGACAGGUGCCUAGCUGAUUUUGCACCCAGAGUGAUUUAGACUUGUAUUUUUUCCCCAUUCAACAAUUGCCUUCCCAUGUCAGAUUUCACAUGUUGCAAUAGGACUCUAUAGAGAUAAAGCAGAUCUGAAGGCAGAACUUGUGCAAUGCAGCAAAACAAUUUACAUUCUGGUGCAAGGUAAACUCAAGUUCCUAAUGAAAGGCAAACAUUGCUUCUACUUGCAUUAUGAAAACUCGCACACAGAGCUUGCCCAUUUGACCUUUUAUUCCUUUCAAAAUGAACCACUUAUGCUUGCCCCUUUACAAACCUGCUACAGCACUUCCUGCAGGUUACUGGGACCAGUAAUAACAGAACCUAGCUACCACCCAAAGCAUAAGUACAUAGAAAGAAAUUGUAACUCACAAAACUUGGGAAAAUGUAUCCAUUUUGAUUUGAAUUUCUAAUGGACAAAGUCUGGGAAUAGGAUGUUAAUAGUUCAGGGGGUUUGAGUUCUAGCCUUAGUAGCUAUAUGUAGUUUUAUGAGGGGAGGUGCUUAUUUGCCCAAGUGUACUUUUGUUGACAAGUCCCUCAACAGUCCAUUUACCUGUGGAUCUUAAUUUAGGAGUUACUGAUGUUAUGUAUUCUGAUCACUAAAUAAAUUCAGAAAUAGAAAA
Podarcis raffonei (Aeolian wall lizard) is the source of this 2196-nucleotide long non-coding RNA. RefSeq lists it as uncharacterized. The transcript has 2 exons. Lineage: Eukaryota; Metazoa; Chordata; Lepidosauria; Squamata; Lacertidae. The record is from RefSeq and is a predicted model, not a curated record.